Nyctereutes procyonoides (raccoon dog) is the source of this 7819-nucleotide RNA transcript. It is a transcript of the gene named Rho associated coiled-coil containing protein kinase 2, with no coding region annotated. Lineage: Eukaryota; Metazoa; Chordata; Mammalia; Carnivora; Canidae. The transcript has 34 exons. The record is from RefSeq and is a predicted model, not a curated record.
CGGCGCUAGGCCCCGGGGCGCCCCGGGGCCGGAGCGCGGGCGGCGGCGGCAUGAGCCGGGCCCCGGCGACCGGGAAAAUGCCCGGCGCCCCCGAGGCCGCGCCGGGGGACGGGGCGGGCGCCAGCCGCCAGAGGAAGCUGGAGGCGCUGAUCCGGGACCCUCGCUCGCCCAUCAACGUGGAGAGCUUGCUGGAUGGCUUAAAUUCCUUGGUCCUUGAUUUGGAUUUUCCUGCUUUGAGGAAAAACAAGAAUAUAGAUAAUUUUUUAAAUAGAUAUGAGAAAAUUGUGAAAAAAAUCAGAGGUCUACAGAUGAAGGCAGAAGACUAUGAUGUUGUAAAAGUUAUUGGAAGAGGUGCUUUUGGUGAGGUGCAGCUGGUUCGUCAUAAGGCAUCACAGAAGGUGUAUGCUAUGAAGCUUCUUAGUAAGUUUGAAAUGAUAAAAAGAUCAGAUUCUGCUUUUUUCUGGGAAGAGAGAGAUAUUAUGGCCUUUGCCAACAGUCCCUGGGUGGUUCAGCUCUUUUGUGCUUUUCAAGAUGAUAAGUAUCUGUACAUGGUAAUGGAGUACAUGCCUGGUGGAGAUCUUGUAAACCUUAUGAGUAACUAUGACGUGCCUGAAAAAUGGGCCAAAUUCUAUACUGCUGAAGUUGUUCUUGCUCUGGAUGCCAUACACUCCAUGGGCUUAAUUCACAGAGAUGUAAAGCCUGACAACAUGCUCUUGGAUAAACAUGGACAUCUAAAGUUAGCAGAUUUUGGCACAUGUAUGAAGAUGGAUGAAACAGGCAUGGUGCAUUGUGAUACAGCAGUUGGAACACCUGAUUAUAUUUCACCUGAGGUUCUCAAAUCACAAGGGGGUGAUGGUUACUAUGGGCGAGAAUGUGAUUGGUGGUCGGUGGGUGUUUUCCUUUUUGAGAUGCUGGUGGGGGAUACUCCAUUUUAUGCAGAUUCACUUGUAGGAACUUAUAGCAAAAUUAUGGAUCAUAAAAACUCACUGUGUUUCCCUGAAGAUGCAGAAAUUUCUAAACAUGCGAAGAAUCUCAUUUGCGCCUUCUUAACAGAUAGGGAGGUACGACUUGGGAGAAAUGGGGUAGAAGAAAUCAAACAGCAUCCUUUCUUUAAGAAUGAUCAAUGGAAUUGGGAUAACAUAAGAGAGACGGCAGCUCCUGUAGUACCAGAACUCAGCAGUGACAUAGACAGCAGCAAUUUUGAUGACAUCGAAGAUGAUAAAGGAGAUGUAGAAACUUUUCCAAUUCCUAAAGCUUUUGUGGGAAAUCAGCUGCCUUUUAUAGGAUUUACCUACUAUAGAGAAAAUCUGUUAUUAAGUGAGUCUUCAUCUUGUAGAGAAAAUGAUUCUUUACAAUCAAGGAAAAAUGAAGAAAGUCAAGAGAUUCAGAAAAAAUUAUAUACAUUAGAAGAACACCUCAGCACUGAGAUACAAGCCAAAGAAGAACUAGAGCAAAAGUGCAAAUCUGUUAAUACUCGACUUGAAAAAGUAGCAAAGGAAUUAGAAGAAGAGAUUACUUUAAGGAAAAAUGUGGAAUCAGCAUUAAGACAAUUAGAAAGAGAAAAGGCACUUCUUCAGCACAAAAAUGCAGAAUAUCAGCGGAAAGCUGAUCACGAAGCAGACAAGAAGCGGAAUUUGGAAAAUGAUGUUAACAGUUUAAAAGAUCAACUUGAAGAUUUGAAGAAAAGAAAUCAGAACUCUCAAAUAUCCACCGAGAAAGUGAAUCAGCUCCAGAGACAACUGGAUGAAACCAAUGCUUUACUGAGAACAGAAUCUGAUACUGCGGCCCGGUUAAGAAAAACCCAGGCAGAAAGUUCAAAACAGAUUCAGCAGCUGGAAUCUAACAAUAGAGAUCUCCAAGAUAAAAAUUGCCUGCUAGAGACUGCCAAGUUAAAACUUGAAAAGGAAUUUAUGAAUCUUCAGUCAGUUCUAGAAUCUGAAAGGAGGGACCGAACCCACGGAUCCGAGAUAAUUAAUGACUUACAAGGUAGAAUAUCUGGCCUAGAAGAAGACUUAAAGAAUGGAAAACUCUUAUUAGCAAAAGCAGAGGUGGAGAAGAGACAACUGCAGGAGAGACUUACUGAUUUGGAAAAGGAAAAGAACAACAUGGAAAUAGAUAUGACGUACCAACUAAAAGUUAUACAGCAGAGCUUAGAACAAGAAGAAGCUGAGCAUAAGGCCACAAAAGCACGGCUGGCAGAUAAAAAUAAGAUUUAUGAGUCCAUUGAAGAAGCAAAAUCAGAAGCCAUGAAAGAAAUGGAGAAGAAGCUCUCAGAGGAAAGGACGUUAAAACAGAAGGUGGAGAAUCUAUUGCUGGAAGCUGAGAAAAGAUGCUCUUUAUUCGACUGUGACCUCAAGCAGUCACAGCAGAAAAUAAAUGAACUCCUUAAACAGAAAGAUGUGCUAAAUGAGGAUGUUAGAAACUUGACAUUAAAAAUAGAGCAGGAAACUCAGAAGCGCUGCCUUACACAAAAUGACUUGAAGAUGCAAACACAGCAAGUUAACACACUAAAAAUGUCAGAAAAACAGUUAAAACAAGAGAAUAAUCAUCUCAUGGAAAUGAAAAUGAGCUUGGAAAAGCAGAAUGCUGAACUUCGGAAAGAACGUCAAGAUGCAGAUGGGCAAAUGAAAGAACUUCAGGAUCAGCUUGAAGCAGAGCAGUAUUUCUCAACCCUCUAUAAAACUCAGGUGAGGGAGCUUAAAGAAGAAUGUGAAGAAAAGACCAAACUUUGUAAAGAAUUACAGCAGAAGAAACAGGAAUUACAGGAAGAAAGGGAUUCCUUGGCUGCUCAACUGGAGAUCACCUUGACCAAAGCAGAUUCUGAGCAGCUGGCUCGUUCAAUUGCUGAAGAGCAGUAUUCUGAUUUGGAAAAAGAGAAAAUUAUGAAGGAGCUUGAGAUCAAAGAGAUGAUGGCUAGACACAAACAGGAACUCACUGAAAAAGAUGCUACAAUUGCAUCUCUUGAAGAAACGAAUAGGACACUAACUAGUGAUGUUGCCAAUCUUGCAAAUGAGAAAGAAGAAUUAAAUAACAAAUUGAAAGAUGCACAAGAACAGCUGUCACGGCUGAAGGAUGAGGAGAUCAGUGCAGCUGCUAUUAAAGCACAGUUUGAGAAGCAGCUGCUCACAGAGAGAACACUGAAAACUCAAGCUGUGAAUAAGUUGGCUGAGAUCAUGAAUCGAAAAGAACCUGUCAAGCGUGGUAGUGACACUGAUGUGCGGAGAAAAGAGAAAGAAAAUCGGAAGCUACAUAUGGAGCUUAAAUCUGAACGUGAAAAACUGACCCAGCAGAUGAUCAAGUACCAGAAAGAACUGAAUGAAAUGCAGGCUCAAAUAGCUGAAGAGAGCCAGAUUCGAAUUGAACUGCAGAUGACACUGGACAGUAAAGAUAGUGACAUUGAGCAGCUGCGGUCACAGCUCCAGGCUUUGCAUAUUGGUCUGGAUAGUUCCAGUAUAGGCAGUGGACCGGGGGACGCUGAGGCAGAUGAUGGGUUUCCAGAAUCAAGACUAGAAGGAUGGCUUUCAUUGCCUUUACGAAACAACACUAAGAAAUUUGGAUGGACUAAAAAGUAUGUGAUUGUAAGCAGUAAGAAGAUUCUUUUCUAUGACAGCGAACAAGAUAAAGAACAAUCUAAUCCUUACAUGGUUUUAGAUAUAGACAAAUUAUUUCAUGUCCGACCAGUUACACAGACAGAUGUAUAUAGAGCAGAUGCUAAAGAUAUUCCAAGGAUAUUUCAGAUUCUGUACGCCAAUGAAGGAGAAAGUAAGAAGGAACAAGAAUUUCCAGUGGAGCCAGUAGGAGAAAAAUCAAAUUAUAUUUGCCAUAAAGGACAUGAAUUUAUUCCUACUCUGUAUCAUUUCCCAACCAACUGUGAGGCUUGUAUGAAGCCAUUGUGGCAUAUGUUUAAACCUCCUCCUGCUUUAGAAUGCCGGCGCUGCCAUAUUAAAUGUCAUAAAGAUCACAUGGACAAAAAGGAGGAGAUUAUAGCACCUUGCAAGGUUUAUUGUGAUAUUUCGACGGCAAAGAAUCUAUUGUUGUUAGCAAAUUCUACAGAAGAGCAGCAGAAGUGGGUUAGUCGGUUGGUGAAAAAGAUUCCUAAAAAGCCUCCAGCUCCAGACCCUUUUGCACGGUCAUCACCUAGAACUUCAAUGAAGAUACAACAAAACCAGUCUAUUAGACGGCCAAGUCGACAGCUUGCCCCAAACAAACCAAGGACCUUCAGUAUAUGAAUAAUGAUGUGCAUUGGCUGUAUUAUCAGAAAUCUUUUCAUUCUAACCACAAACAUCUUAUAUGAAACUUUUCUUGAAACUAUUAUCUCAAGGAAGUAAUUUAGAAUGACAAAGGUAGAAUUGGUGUGUCAGCAGUGAAAAUGUUGAAUUUUUCUGUGAGCUAGCUGCCUUCUAUGAAUGCAGUCAUUAUUCAAGGUGAUCAUAUUCUUCCAGUUAAAACAAGACUGAAGUAUGAUGGGCCAGAAUUUCUUAAAAAGCUAUAUUUUCUGGAGGGACUGAUACACACACACACACACACACACACACAUUUCCCUUAUUCCUGCAAUAUAAAUUAUAAAUCUUGGAUAUUUUCUGGGCUCCUUUGGAGCAUCAAGUUGAACCAACAAUGAUUGGUUAAUAGAGUAAGAAUAUCAUAUGCAACUCUUCCAAACUUGUUCCAUAAAACUCUCUUGGCAGUCACUCACACUACAUUGCACAAAAGGAUUGAGAAGAGUUAAAGCUUAAAGAAAUCAUCUUUUCAGCUUCAACAGAGAGAUUUCACCAGCACAUUUACCAGAAGAUUCUGGGAAUGGAUUCCACUACAGUGAUAGAGACUGCAUCUUUAAGAAGUGACCAUUAUACUGUGUGUGUGCAUAUAUAUGUGUGUGUGUGUGUCUCUAUGUGCAUGCGUGCACACACACACACACACACAUAUAUAAUAGUACUGUAAUACUGCAAGAGGGUUCAACAAAUGUCCCAUUUUAUUUUUUUAUACACAUUAAUCAGAUAUCAUAACUUACUGCAGUUGCAACUAUGCACUUGUAUAAAGCCAUAAUGUUGGAGUUUAUAUCACUCAUUUUGUGUAUACCCCAUGGAGGCUGCAUGUUCAUGUUUAAGCAAUUACUGUAACAGGAGUUUUGAUGUUAAUUGUAUCAAUUUCCUAAUGCUUCAUGAUAGGCAACUUUACCCAUUUUGAAUGCCUUAAUUUAAUUUUUUUUUAAAAGUCUCACCCUUUUCUGUAUUUUGAAAAAAGAAGUGUUUUCCAGCUCUUAGGAUGCAAAUUCGCUUUGCAAAAGAAAAACAGUGCACUAUUUUUACAUGUAAUAGUUAUCAGUGUCAGCCUAUUUUGAUUGUAUAACAAUUUUUUUUAAAAGUACUGGUGAUAGAAACAAUAAUGGAUACUAUUGGAACUAAUAUAUCUUUUAUGUAUAUCUAUUAUUCAUCCCACUCUUCUUACAGACCUCAGUAUUAGUGUGUGACUGAAAUGUUUGCUUUGCUUUGAAUUUGCUGGCUACCCUAGAUGUAUUUUUAUUUCUGGUAGAGACAUUGUGACUAUUUUUACAUUUUCACACUCAAGAUUCUAAGAUUAUCUCAAAUAUAAAGAAAAUUAAGACAUACUGUAGAUAUAUUUUAAAUAUUUAAAUGUGAUUCCUCAAACACACAACUGUAUAUGGCAAUAUUUCAGGAUUGGGCUAAAACUGGUGACUGGGAAGAACUAGCCUCAGAGGCUCUUAACCUGAUUUUUAUUUUUUAAAUGAUGUUAAAGUCAUAGGUUAUGCAGGACCAUUUCUGCUAGAUUUCUCAUUGUCCCAGAAAAAUGUGUUUUGUACUGCUACCAUAUGGAUUAAUGAUAAGCAUCAAGUUAAAAAAAUUAUGUAGUCUUUUAUCAGUCUCUUUAUAAUACAUAUACACAGGGUUUGGUGUGAUAUUGAAAUACAUCAUCUAAUAGUUCAAUGAAGGAAGCAGACAUUUUUCAUUGAUUACUUUUGGAGUCAGUGUAUAAAUGUUUAAAGAGUUAGACCCCCAAAAUAUAGAUACUAUUGUGAAAAUUGAAGAGUGGCCUUUGGCCUACUGAUGUACUAAAACUGAAUCUUGUUAUUCUCAUUAUCCCACCUGCACUCUUCCAUGAUGUCUCUGCUAAACCAGAAACUCAUGUCAUUUCCCUCACAGGGAUGUUCUGCAGUUCUGGUUUGGGGGCACAGCCUUUUUUUUUUUUUUUUUAAGUAAGAUAUAAAAAUGAAAAAUAUAUAAAAUUUAUAUAGAAUAAAUAUUUCCAUUCAUUAGACUUGUUAAAAGGAGACUGAAUUAAUAUUUUAUAUAAAGAUUUUGUUACACUAUGGGAGGUUCUAUCAUAUUCUGAAUUGGAGAGUAUAUAUAUAUAUAUAUUUUUAAUAAACUUUAUUAAGGUGAAAUAAUUUGAAGUUUACACGAGUAAUUGAAAUAUUUGAGUAAAAAUGGCGAAAGUUAAUUUUUGAAUGCUGUAUAUAUUAGAGAAUAUGGAGAAUCAUGGUGUGAUGCAACUAUACAAGGAAAAUUAAUGUGAAGUUUUUUGGGGAAAAAAAGGUAUUCUAAGAGGUGAAAAAAAUCUCUCCCAUGGAGAUUCUUCACAUUAUAUGGUUUAACAUAAGGGUUCAAUAGGGUUGUUUCUCCAGCUAAUGGAAAUGCGCUUAAUAAAAAUUCUGACCUUGGGUAAGAAUUUGCUUUUUACCCUGUUGCUGGUUUCAUGUACAUACAUGAAUGCAUACACCCAUACAAAUGUUCUCUUCUCAACACUCAUUAAAUACAAUAUUGACUUGGUUUAACAACCUGAUUUUGUGCCAGCUUCUCUUUUUCUUGAGGCUCCAAAGGUUCCCAGAUAAAUAAAGACCAAAAGUUGCUUAUUUCUUCACACCUGAUUUCUCCUAGAGCCAUAAAUACCUCCUAUUGAGAACUGAGAAGUAGUGAAUACUGGGAUUUUCUUAGUUGGAUUUUUUACUUUUGUUUAGUGGGGGAUAGCAAGACAGAAGUAGAAGGAAAACUGGUGCCGGUAUUAUUGUUAAAAAUAAAUGUAUAGUGAAUGUUUGAAAAGUAUUAAAGAAAAUAUGCUAUCUAGAAGCAAGAUUUAAAAAAAAAUCUAUCUGAAAAUUUUAACUAAAGGAUACCAAGAAAUCUAGAGUAAGGUUAGUUUUUUAAAACUAACCUAGGCUAGAGUCACAAAUCUGGCUCUGAAGGACGUCUUUUUUUUUUUUUUUUUUUUUUUUUUUUAUCAGUUUAGCUGUAGAUCCUCAAAAAACAAAACAAAACAAAAAAACUCUAGGUUGCCAAACCAGAAUUUAAGAAGUUUUGCUGCUGUUGUUAAUCUAUUCUUACAGGAUUCUCGUGGUAAAAUAGAGAAACUUAGACACUAUAUUACCUUUUUCAAACAUGCUUUAAUAACAUGUUUAAUAUUCUAUGAGAGCAAGUCACUUCUGAGUUUCUCAGUCUGUGUCGACACUGCUACUGACUCACGUCUCCUCCCCUGGAAGAAGGCUGCAGUUUUCCUCUGGCGUGAAGAUAACCAUAGUUGAUUCAUAAAGCACUUUGAAAAUAGGCACUGUAUGACAGUGCUGGAUAUUAUGCUUGGGGGCCUGUCCUCGAUUCCCUUCCCCAUAAUGAGUUUUGUUUGAAAUUGUAAUAAGUUAUGAACUGCAUGGUUUAGAUAAUCAUAAAUAUUUGAUCAACUGUCCCCUUUGAACAAAAAUCGUACCCCCCUGAUUUUUAAAAAAUUUUUGUUGCAUCUUUGUAGUAAUGUAAUUGUAUUUUAUGCCUGCUUUUUAUAUUAAAAAAAUUAAAUAAAAGAAAUUAAGACAUAA